Molecule: ribosomal RNA, 1200 nt
Filed under: Triticum aestivum (bread wheat)
Lineage: Eukaryota; Viridiplantae; Streptophyta; Magnoliopsida; Poales; Poaceae
Description: partial small subunit ribosomal RNA
Source: RNAcentral
AUGGAUUCCAAGGGGGUCGCCGCCUUCGACGUCGUCCUCCAUGACGGCUCGCCCAACGUCGGCGGCGCGUGGGCGCAGGAGGCCACCGCGCAGUCCGCGCUCGUCAUCGACGCCGUCCGCCUGGCCACCGCGUUCCUCGCCCCCAAUGGCACCUUCGUCACCACCAAGGUCUUCAGGUCUCAGGAUUACAGCGCCAUCAUGUUCUGCCUGAAGCAGCUGUUUGAAAAGGUCGAGGUGACUAAACCUAGAGCGAGUCGUGGCACAUCGGCUGAAAUUUACAUCAUCUGCCUGAAGUACAAAGCCCCUGCAAAGAUUCAACCAGAGCUUCUUGAUAUCAAGCACCUGUUCAGUGUGGAUCCAGAGAAGAGCAUGCCUACGGAUGUACUUGAUCCUAAGAGUGCAAAGAAGAGAACUCGUGGCGGGUAUGCGCCUGGAGUCACGGUACUGGAGAAAGUUGGUCUGGCAUCAGAUUUUAUAUGGUCUGAAGUGCAGAAACCACGGGAUUUUCUGGGUUCUUUCACUAAGAUUUCAUUUGAUGAUCCUGCAUCUAUGCCUAUCAAGAACCAUGAGCUCACCACAGAUGAGGUCAAAUACCUUUGCGAGGAUUUGCAGGUGCUGGAUAAAAAUAGUUUCAAGCAUAUCUUGAAGUGGCGCACACGCAUAAGGAAAGCCCUGCCGUCAUAUUCGCAAGUUACACCAAAGGCUGAUGGUGCUGCGACGGACACCAAGGUCAAAGAUGAUGUUCAGCUUUUACAGGAAAUGGAAGAAAUGGAUUCUGAUGAAGAACACGGACUGGAGGAGAUGCUUGAUGAAGCUUAUGAGCGUUAUGUGACAAAAAAGGGUGAAGAAGUAAAACAAGAACACAAACGUGCCAAGCGAAUCGAUCCUGAUGCUGAUGCAGGUUUGUUAGAGGGAGGUGAAGAUGAUGGUGGUGACAUUGGCAUGGAUCAAGGUUCUAAUGAAGAUCAAGACCAAGAGACCAGCCCCCUUUUAUUAUGUCUAGAUACAGAGAAGCCAACAGAAGAGCAAGAUUGUAAAGCAGUGGUUCAGUCAGGAUGUGUUCGCAGAAGCAGGGAGAAGGGAAGGGGUGGCAAAGGAGGCGCCAAGGGAGGGGAAGGAAAGAUGGGUGCCGCCGGCCAGAAGAAAGGGGGCAUGCGAGGGAAAGCUAGGAAGAAGGCCGGCGGCAGAGCCCUGCAUUGA